UUUGUUUUACACAGGGCGAUUCUUUAGACUCUCCCGAAUCCAAUGAUAUAUAUCAUCAAACUAUUCCGAGCUCGGCAAUAUUUUUCAAAACGUCCACAAAAUUACGAAACCCUGGAGUUACGUUUCCAACUUUGUCAAUUUUUCGUGGUUGCACCGUAAACGCUGCUCAAAUUUGUUUUACAUAAAUUCUUUAGACUCUGUCGAAACUUCCAUAAUAUUAUAAUAAUUAUAAUAAUCUCCCAUAAAAUUUCCAUAGUAUUCCGAACGUUGCAACAUUUCUUUCAAAUAUCCACAAAAUCGUCGAUCUCGCUUCACUCUUUCUCGCGCGAACGUCCGAGCGCAUCGUUCAAGUCUGAGAUUAAAAUUAAAGCAGAAAAUUGUGAAAAACUCACCCCCCCCCCAAAAAAAAUUCAAUUUCAAAGCGAACGAAAAAUUCGCCGGAAUGCCAGGGCGAGCCAAUUAAUUGUUAAUUAACCGAACGAAAAAACAGAGGUUGCAGGGAUCGUCUACGGAUCGGAGGAGAAUUUCACCGUCGGGGGCCAGUGGCGUAGAGAACGAGGCUCCCCCCUCGGGUUCAAUUUGCCCGUAAUUUGACCUUCGCUAAUUAACCUGUAUAUAAUUGGAUAUGUUUAAGGGGAUCGCGACGGCGCGGCUCGGCGCGGCGGCGGCGUAAACGUUUCGACGCCGAGGCUCUGCGGAGCUAUAGCUUGUCACUUAUGCGAGAAUUCGAUGGCCAGCAGCAGGUCGGAGGGCACCCAUGGGGUCUUUUACCCCGGAAUCUUUUCUACGCGCACAACGGCCUUUACGUACCAUAAGAAGUCUAAUAAAGAGCAGUUCAACCAAGUAGUUUUCUUUACCAUUACACCCCCCCCCCCUCCGGCGCCACCCCUCCAAUGAAACUUCACUGUCGCCGAUUCCGACCGAUGCCGGCUUAAACUCUCCGACAACUGUUUGUAAAUAAAACGCAUUUCGAGCAA
Molecule: non-coding RNA, 977 nt
Organism: Megalopta genalis
Lineage: Eukaryota; Metazoa; Arthropoda; Insecta; Hymenoptera; Halictidae
Source: RefSeq, a predicted model, not a curated record